RNAcentral lists this ribosomal RNA (507 nucleotides) under uncultured bacterium. Its description in RNAcentral is "bacterial SSU rRNA". It matches the Rfam family "Bacterial small subunit ribosomal RNA", at positions 391 to 888 of the family's 1533-position model. The record is from RNAcentral.
UUGACGCCGCGUGGGUGACGAAGGCCUUCGGGUUGUAAAGCCCUGUCGGGAGGGAAGAAAAACAAUAUGGCUAAUAUCCAUAAUGCUUGACGGUACCUCUAAAGGAAGCACCGGCUAACUACGUGCCAGCAGCCGCGGUAAUACGUAGGGUGCUAGCGUUGUUCGGAAUCAUUGGGCGUAAAGCGCGUGUAGGCUGUUUAUUAAGUCGGGUGUGAAAUCCCUGGGCUCAACCGAGGAAGUGCAUCCGAAACUAAUAAACUUGAAGACGGUACAGGAAGGUGGAAUUCCAAGUGUAGAGGUGAAAUUCGUAGAUAUUUGGAGGAAUACCGGUGGCGAAGGCGGCCUUCUGGGCCGUUCUUGACGCUGAGACGCGAAAGCGUGGGUAGCAAACAGGAUUAGAUACCCUGGUAGUCCACGCCGUAAACGAUGGGUACUAGGUGUCGUGGGAAUUGACCCCUACAGUGCCGAAGCUAACGCAUUAAGUAGCCCGCCUGGGAAGUACGGCCG